GACAGUCGAUGGCUAACGGGUUAAUAUUCCCGUACUACUAAUUACUGUGAUGGGGUGACGGAGUGAUGAAAGCGCCGCGAACUACGGAAUAGUUCGUUGAAGUACCUACCUAUAGGAUCUGCAGGCAAAUCCACAGAUCUUGGGGAAAUACGAUAGUACUCGGAGUCUUCGGACAAAGAGAUAGUGCGCCUAAGGGCUUCCAAGAAAAACCUCUAAACUUCAGGUAAUUAGUACCAGUACCGUAAACCGACACAGGUAGUUGAGGAGAGAAUCCUAAGGUGCUCGAGAGAUUCAUGGCUAAGGAAUUAGGCAAAAUAGACCUGUAACUUCGGGAGAAAGGUCGCCAGCGCAAGCUGGCCGCAGUGAAGAGGUCCAGGCGACUGUUUAUCAAAAACACAGGGCUCUGCAAAAUCGUAAGAUGAAGUAUAGGGCCUGACACCUGCCCGGUGCUGGAAGGUUAAGAGGAGAUGUUAUCUUCGGAGAAGCAUUGAAUUGAAGCCCCAGUAAACGGCGGCCGUAACAAUAACGGUCCUAAGGUAGCGAAAUUCCUUGUCGGGUAAGUUCCGACCUGCACGAAUGGUGUAACGAUCUGGACACUGUCUCAGCCAUGAGCUCGGUGAAAUUGUAGUAACGGUGAAGAUGCCGUUUACCCGCAGUGGGACGAAAAGACCCUGAGCACCUUUACUAUAGCUUAGUAUUGACCUUGGAUAAAUGAUGUGUAGGAUAGGUUGGAGACUGUGAAGUGGCGUCGCCAGGCGUUGUGGUCAUUGUUGAAAUACAACCCUUUGUUUAUCUGAGGCCUAACCCCGUUUUGCGGGGGACAUUGCUUGGUGGGUAGUUUGACUGGGGUGGUCGCCUCCAAAAGAGUAACGGAGGCUUCUAAAGGUUCCCUCAGUACGCUUGGUAACCGUGCGUAGAGUGCAAUGGCAUAAGGGAGCUUGACUGAGAGACAUACAGGUCGAUCAGGUACGAAGGUAGAGCAUAGUGAUCCGGUGGUUCCGCAUGGAAGGGCCAUCGCUCAAAGGAUAAAAGGUACGCCGGGGAUAACAGGCUGAUCUCCCCCAAGAGCUCAUAUCGACGGGGGGGUUUGGCACCUCGAUGUCGGCUCGUCACAUCCUGGGGCUGGAGAAGGCCCCAAGGGUUGGGCUGUUCGCCCAUUAAAGUGGCACGCGAGCUGGGUUCAGAACGCCGUGAGACAGUUCGGUCUCUAUCUACUGUGGGCGUUAGAAAUUUGAGUGGAUCUGAUUCUAGUACGAGAGGACCGAAUUGGACAAACCUCUAGUGUAUCUGUUGUCCCGCCAGGGGCACCGCAGAGUAGCUACGUUUGGAAGGGAUAAGCGCUGAAAGCAUAUAAGCGCGAAACCCACCACAAGAUGAGAUUUCUUUUAAGGAUCGUGGAAGAUGACCACGUUGAUAGGCUAUAGAUGUAAAGGCAGUAAUGUCAUAGUCGAGUAGUACUAAUAAUCC
RNAcentral lists this ribosomal RNA (1467 nucleotides) under metagenome. Its description in RNAcentral is "bacterial LSU rRNA". It matches the Rfam family "Bacterial large subunit ribosomal RNA", at positions 1410 to 2910 of the family's 2925-position model. The record is from RNAcentral.